GGGGAUGUCCUGGCUUUGACAGCAUGACGAAGUGGUUUGUAAGCAUGUAGUGCUGCGCCCAUAAGCACUCUAAUCUCUGUGAGCAAAAAUUUAACUGGCGAAAAUAACUACGCUCUCGCUGCGUAACCGAAGAACAGUAGGUUCACACGCUUCAUCACGGUGACAGAUCACUGUGACGAGACAUCACUCAGGUAGCCGUUCUCUCCGAGGCGACUUGGUUCAGUGGUGCCGGAAAUUCGGAGAUCGCUCCUAUGAGCCUUCGCUUAGGGGUCAGAUUUAGAAGGAUAAGGUGUGGCUUAUGGUAGCCUCAGUCGCAGGUCACACACGAAAACCCAAAGUGAGGAUAAACAUGUAGAAAGCAGAUUAAUUCCAUGUUUGGACCGGGGUUCGACUCCCCGCAUCUCCACAA
Porphyromonas catoniae ATCC 51270 is the source of this 409-nucleotide non-coding RNA. It matches the Rfam family "transfer-messenger RNA". From Rfam's summary of the family: Bacterial tmRNA, also known as 10Sa RNA or SsrA, is named for its dual tRNA and mRNA-like properties. Its role is to liberate the mRNA from a stalled ribosome. To accomplish this part of the tmRNA is used as a reading frame that ends in a translation stop signal. Lineage: Bacteria; Pseudomonadati; Bacteroidota; Bacteroidia; Bacteroidales; Porphyromonadaceae. The record is from Rfam.